CACGUAGGGGCCAAGCGUUGUCCGGAUUUAUUGGGCGUAAAGAGCUCGUAGGCGGUUGGGUAAGUCGGGUGUGAAAACUCCAGGCUCAACUUGGAGACGCCACCCGAUACUGCUCUGACUUGAGUUCGGUAGGGGAGUGGGGAAUUCCUGGUGUAGCGGUGAAAUGCGCAGAUAUCAGGAGGAACACCGGUGGCGAAGGCGCCACUCUGGGCCGAAACUGACGCUGGGGAGCGAAAGCGUGGGUAGCAAACAGG
This 254-nucleotide ribosomal RNA is filed under the name uncultured bacterium. RNAcentral describes it as "partial 16S ribosomal RNA". It matches the Rfam family "Bacterial small subunit ribosomal RNA", at positions 524 to 776 of the family's 1533-position model. The record is from RNAcentral.